CCCUGACUAAAGAAGCCACGAGAAACGCCAGCAGCGCGAGGCCCACUGCGACCCUCAGGGCGCAGUCCUCAUGCAGCCUUGGUGUCUUCUGCGCCGUUCUGGAACUUGCUGCGCUGCGGGAUGUGGAACUGUGGUACACCAGGCAUGGAAAAAGCUCUGAAAUGAUUUUGGAGACGGUGUGAGUAGCUGGGACCGAGACCAAGGAAGAGCAGUGCAAUUUCCACAGGCUAAUAUUUACACAUGAUGGAUGAGGAAGGAGCCUGGCUUUGACUGUAGGAGACUAAUUGCAAAAUUAAUAAAGCUGCUGGCCUCUAGGAUAAAUCUUGCAACCCUGAUUAAAGUCAAACCAUCAUUUACAUCCCUGCUCCCAGGUAGCUGGGCCCCUACUCUGUGGGUUUCCUUGAACUCUGGGUCCUGCCCAGGCCGACACACAGCUGCACCGAACGGA
Ochotona princeps (American pika) is the source of this 448-nucleotide long non-coding RNA. RefSeq lists it as uncharacterized. The transcript has 3 exons. NCBI's taxonomy places the organism in Eukaryota, Metazoa, Chordata, Mammalia, Lagomorpha, Ochotonidae. The record is from RefSeq and is a predicted model, not a curated record.